UAUGUGAUCGUCUCUCGCAUAUCAAUAAGCGGAGGAAAAGAAACUAACAAGGAUUCCCCUAGUAACGGCGAGUGAAGCGGGAAGAGCUCAAAUUUGAAAUCUUAAAGGGUUUCCCUUUACGAAUUGUAGUUUAAAGAAGUGUUUUCUGUUGAGGUUUUGGUAAAAGUUCUUUGGAAUAGGACAUCAUAGAGGGUGAGAAUCCCGUAUUUGACCUUUACUUUCAACUUUGUGAUACACUUUCAAAGAGUCGGAUUGUUUGGGAAUGCAGUCCAAAAUGGGUGGUAAAUUUCAUCUAAAGCUAAAUAUUGGCGAGAGACCGAUAGCGAACAAGUACCGUGAGGGAAAGAUGAAAAGAACUUUGAAAAGAGAGUUAAACAGUACGUGAAAUUGUCAAAGGGGAAGCGUUUGACACCAGUGUUGUUUUUCUGAAAAUCAAUUAAAGAACUGUUUAUGCUAAGCUGUUUAGACUUUAUCAGCUAUCUGUUUAGUUUUGAGCUUUUCUUUAAUGCACUUUUCAGUUAACAAGUCAACAUCAAUUUCUUUUGCUGUAAAAAAGCUUGAGGAAGGUGGCUUGAGAUUCGUCUUAAGUGUUUAUAGCCUCUUGCCUAUGCAGUCGGAGAGAUUGAGGUCUGCAGCGUAGAUCCUUCGGGGCUAAAUGCAUUUGUGCUAAGUUAUAGCAUUUUAUAGACAACUUGUUGACUAUGAUUUGUCUUGUAGCUUACUCGCUUAUGUUAUUUUACCUACGCUUAGGAUGUUGAGUCGUAGAGCACGCAG
RNAcentral lists this ribosomal RNA (774 nucleotides) under uncultured Neocallimastigales. Its description in RNAcentral is "partial large subunit ribosomal RNA". It matches the Rfam family "Eukaryotic large subunit ribosomal RNA", at positions 24 to 628 of the family's 3401-position model. Lineage: Eukaryota; Fungi; Neocallimastigomycota; Neocallimastigomycetes; Neocallimastigales. The record is from RNAcentral.